UUGGAGGGCAAGUCUGGUGCCAGCAGCCGCGGUAAUUCCAGCUCCAAUAGCGUAUAUUAAAGUUGUUGCAGUUAAAAAGCUCGUAGUUGAAUUUCGGGAUUAGCAGGUCGGUCGUGCCACUGGUACGUACUGGUCUUGCUGAUUCCUCCCUCUUGACAAGCCGUAAUGCCAUUAAUUUGGUGUUGCGGGGAAUCAGGACUGUUACUUUGAAAAAAUUAGAGUGUUUAAAGCAAGCAUGCGCUUGAAUACAUUAGCAUGGAAUAAUGAAAUAGGACGUUCGAUCUUAUUUUGUUGGUUUCUAGGAUUGACGUAAUGAUUAAUAGGGAUAGUUGGGGGCAUUAGUAUUCAAUUGUCAGAGGUGAAAUUCUUGGAUUUAUUGAAGACUAACUACUGCGAAAGCAUUUGCCAAGGAUGUUUUCAUUAAUCAAGAACGAAGGUUAGGGGAUCGAAGACGAUCAGAUACCGUCGUAGUCUUAACCAUAAACUAUGCCGACUAGGGAUCGGAUGAUGUUAAUUUUUUAAUGACUCAUUCGGCGCCUUACGGGAAAC
RNAcentral lists this ribosomal RNA (549 nucleotides) under uncultured Glomus. RNAcentral describes it as "SSU rRNA". It matches the Rfam family "Eukaryotic small subunit ribosomal RNA", at positions 548 to 1098 of the family's 1831-position model. The record is from RNAcentral. Lineage: Eukaryota; Fungi; Glomeromycota; Glomeromycetes; Glomerales; Glomeraceae.